GAUGAACGCUGGCGGCGUGCCUAAUACAUGCAAGUCGAGCGAACAGACGAGGAGCUUGCUCCUCUGACGUUAGCGGCGGACGGGUGAGUAACACGUGGAUAACCUACCUAUAAGACUGGGAUAACUUCGGGAAACCGGAGCUAAUACCGGAUAAUAUAUUGAACCGCAUGGUUCAAUAGUGAAAGACGGUUUUGCUGUCACUUAUAGAUGGAUCCGCGCCGCAUUAGCUAGUUGGUAAGGUAACGGCUUACCAAGGCAACGAUGCGUAGCCGACCUGAGAGGGGGAUCGCCCCCCCUGGAACUGGGACACGGGCCAAACUCCUAGGGGAGGCAGCAGUGGGGAAUCUUCCGCAAGGGGCGAAAGCUUGACGGGGCAACGCCGGGGGGGGGAUGAAGUUUUUCGGAUCGUAAAACCUUUUUAUUAGGGAAAAACAAAUGUGUAAGUAACUAUGCCCGUCUUAACGGUCCCAAAUAAGAAAGCCACGGCUAACUACGG
Molecule: ribosomal RNA, 496 nt
Filed under: uncultured bacterium
Lineage: Bacteria
Description: partial 16S ribosomal RNA
Rfam family: Bacterial small subunit ribosomal RNA
Source: RNAcentral